CGCUAAUAAUUAGGCUCAGAUUGACAUAGUCAGGAUGCCGCGCGCGCGUUCCUACCUAGCUAGUAGCUACACACACAAAAAGUCAAGCUUUUAUUUCUCCGUCUCUCAACAAGAGAACUUAAUUUGGGGGAUUACAUGAUGCUCUUCUCUUUGCAUGUGCUUGUUGAUUAACUUGAUGCACUGGAAAAUGCAUGCAUAUACAGGACCGAGUGUGGAAUUCUGGGCCGUAAAAAUCAGUUUUUUUUUAAAAGAGCCGUAAAAAUCAGUUGCUGUCGCAUAUAUAUAGCAAUGACAUACGUAUAUAGGAGGAGUUCAAAAAAGAAGAGGAAAAAAAAAGGCUUACACGGUACAGUAACUGGGCCGGCUCAGUAGUGAGAGACUCGUGAUAUACGACGGGCCCAACAAGGUACUUACUCAAGGAAAAAAAAACUGAGAGAAGAAAUGUGCGGCCC
Molecule: long non-coding RNA, 452 nt
Filed under: Brachypodium distachyon (stiff brome)
Lineage: Eukaryota; Viridiplantae; Streptophyta; Magnoliopsida; Poales; Poaceae
Description: long non-coding RNA (BDIS_LNC006051)
Source: RNAcentral